This 255-nucleotide ribosomal RNA is filed under the name uncultured bacterium. RNAcentral's name for it is "partial 16S ribosomal RNA". It matches the Rfam family "Bacterial small subunit ribosomal RNA", at positions 524 to 776 of the family's 1533-position model. The record is from RNAcentral.
UACAGAGGGUGCGAGCGUUUGUCCGGAAUCACUGGGCGUAAAGGGCGCGUAGGUGGCGACCCAAGUCAGUGGUGAAAGCUCGACGCUCAACGUCGAGUCGGCCACUGAGACUGGGUUGCUCGAGCACUGUAGAGGCAGAUGGAAUUCCGGGUGUAGCGGUGGAAUGCGUAGAGAUCCGGAAGAACACCGGUGGCGAAGGCGGUUAGCUGGGCAGUUGCUGACACUGAGGCGCGACAGCGUGGGGGAGCAAACAGG